RNAcentral lists this unclassified non-coding RNA (714 nucleotides) under Leishmania donovani. RNAcentral's name for it is "gene:unknown". The record is from RNAcentral. Lineage: Eukaryota; Euglenozoa; Kinetoplastea; Trypanosomatida; Trypanosomatidae.
UCGGUGCGUGACUGUCCUUUGCCCUCGCGCCCCCUCGGCGGUGUGUCAGCCUUGCGCUUCAUGGCGUUGUUUCUUUUCCCUGUGGCACAUUUUUCUUACCACCUCUCUCUUCUUCUCAGUGCCGCGUGUAUCACCGCCUCGGAGGACUCUUAAGGCAGCGCACACAAACACACACACACACGCACACACACAGACGCACGCACCUCCUCACUCAACGACGCGGCGCAGGAGAGGAAGGUGUGCGUGCGUGUGCGCUGCUACGUGUCCGGUUCAGUGACAGUGUGAUCGCCCCCCCCUUCCCUUCUUACGGUGUUUCUCUGAAGUAAGGGGCAGCAGCUAAUGGCCGUGUACCGCGUUAAGCGCGGAAGUGUGCGUGUGGGUGAUGCAGCGCACACAGGCACGCAUGCGCACACCCUACUUUGGCUGCGUAGUUGUUGUUGUGUUUUGUGAUCCCGCUCACCGAGUGCCGUCUCACGGUUGAGACCCCUUGGCCACUCUGAGGCGAGCACUGGAGCAAACGGUGCAAUGAUUGUAAACGCCUCCGGCACCCACAGGCACGCUGCCAUUCUGUUCACGGCACUCCCGCCAGCAGGAAUGCCGGGAAGCAGGGAUCCGGCAACACCUCAACCGACACUUUUUGUUUCCCUGGCCCUUUCUCCCUUCUCUCGCCGUGCGCUAUCGCGGCGGACGCACACCUUCGACUUUUCCACAAAG